Molecule: long non-coding RNA, 2087 nt
Filed under: Homo sapiens (human)
Lineage: Eukaryota; Metazoa; Chordata; Mammalia; Primates; Hominidae
Description: HSALNT0306563
Source: RNAcentral
AGAGGCGCAAUGUUGCUGGCCCUGAAGAUGGAGGAAGGGCUGCUGAGCCAAAUAAGGUAGGUGGCCUCCGGAAGAUGGAAAGAGGAUUCACCCCAAGAGCUUCCAGAAAGGAAGGCAACCCUGCCAACACUUUGAUUUUAACCCAGUGAGACCUCAGUAGGACUGCUACAGAAUCCUAAGAUAGUAAAUUGUGUAUGUGAGUGUGUGUGUGUGUGUGUGUGUGCGCGCGCGCGCGCGUUCCUAUGUGUUUAAGCCACUAAAGCCAUGUAAUUUGUUAUGGCAGCGAAUUAAAAAAACUGAUACAAAUCAACAUCACCGUAUUUCCGUAAUACAAUCAUAUAACUGCGGUGCCAGGCCGUGUAGAAUCGAAUCUUCCUAUAUGCAUGCGUGGCAGCAAAAAGAAAGGCAAUAGAACGUCUGCCUGUUGUACAGACUGGAAACACAGUAUUCUCCUUCGGAUGUCUCCUUCAAGAAAAACCUUGCCUAUUCUGACACGCCAGCCAUGACUGCACAACACUGCCCCUACCAAGAAUCGUUUUCUUAAGAAAUCCGUUUUCCUAAGGACUAUCUCCAGAGACACUCGGAGAAAACAGCGAGGGCCGGGCGCGGUGGCUCACGCCUGUAAUCCCAGCACUUUGGGAGGCCGAGGCGUGCGGAUCACGAGGUCAGGAGAUCGUAUCCAUCCUGGUUAACACGGUGAAACCCCGUCUCUACUAAAAAUACAAAAAAAAAAAUUAGCCAGGCGUGGUGGCGGGCGCCUGUAGUCCCAGCUACUCUACUCGGGAGGCUGAGGCUGGAGAAUGGCGUGAACCCGGGAGGCGGAGCUUGCAGUGAGCCGAGAUCGCGCCACUGCACUCCAGCCUGAGCGACAGAGCGAGACUCCGUCUCAAAAAAAAAAAAAAAAAAAAAAAAGAGAGAAAACAGCGAGGAAACACAAAUAACUUUAUGUUUCAAUUUCCUCAAUGAAGCAAAGCAAACAAGUGACAAGGCUCGAAGCCCUGACGGCCCAGAGACUGCACAGCGGGCCCAGGAGCAGGUGCGCCCCCUCGAAGGCGGCGUGGCCUCCGCGACUCGGCUGCGGGCAGCUCCCGGGGAGCAGGGUCUCAACUCCGGCGCUGUCCCACUUCCGUCGGCGCUGAGGGCUCCCACCUCCCUUUCCACCCCCGGCUCUCCAGCCCGGGACUGCCAGCGGCGGGAGUGGCAGCCGGGGAAGGGACUCCCCACUCACCCGCGUCCGCCCGCCGAGCGCAGCUCCCCAAGGCCCAGCGCGCCUGCCCUUCCCGGAAAACAGCAGCGCCUGAAACGCCGGAACCCCGGGAGGCACUGGGAGGGGAAGGCCCGGGUUCUCGAAACUGUCGCUGCCUCCUGCAGAAGCGCCGCGGGAGAGCUGCGGGGUCUUCCUGAGGAGGUGGCCCUCGCAGGAACAGCUGGGUUCCCCGCGAAAAGAAAAAGACAGUGAAAAAGAAAACUGCUUUAACGGCGAUUUUUCUUUAGCAUUUAACCAAUGCUCAAAUACUAAACAUGGUUGUCUCCAAUGAUUAGUCACUAACAGAAAAAAAAACUAAUUUCACUUUCGAUUUUUAAAAAGGGGUGGUUUUGCGGAGGAAAGCAGAAGUAUACCUGAAGUUUCCGUACACACUAAUUUUAGGGAACGCUUUCUAAAACCAGUUUUUUGCAUGUAUUUUAUAAGGUAUGUUGGAAAAGUGGAUAGAAACCAAAUAAAGUCAAAGCAGGAAUCGCUCUUCAUCAGAUUGUAACUCUUUUGUAAUUUCUUAGUCAUUGUAACACUAGUUGACAAAUGUUUACAGUCAGCACAAGAUCGGCGUUUCUGUGUCUUUUGUAACAUCCCCCGGGGCCAUGAAGUUGGGAAAGCUGUGGUGUUCCUGUUGGUUUCUGUGACCCAUGUCCCUUGAAAGUUUUCUUAUAAUCUCUUGUUUUGUUGUGGAGCUUGUAAAUAAAUACUUCACUAGGUGUGAACUUUUCCUUUGAAAAUUCAAACAUCUGGUUUAUUUCAAGAACUGCAGUGUCUCUUAAUCCCACACAAAGAACCACCCCACAGCUGCCCCGGCUCAUAAAUACAGAUGUGG